Molecule: ribosomal RNA, 253 nt
Filed under: uncultured bacterium
Lineage: Bacteria
Description: partial 16S ribosomal RNA
Rfam family: Bacterial small subunit ribosomal RNA
Source: RNAcentral
UACGGAGGGUGCGAGCGUUAUUCGGAAUUACCGGGCGUAAAGCGCGUGUAGGCGGUUUUGCAAGUCUGAUGUGAAAGCCCCGGGCUUAACCUGGGAAGUGCAUUGGAAACUGCAGGACUUGAGGACCGGAGAGGAAGGGGGAAUUCCCGGUGUAGAGGUGAAAUUCGUAGAGAUCGGGAGGAAUACCAGUGGCGUAGGCGCCCUUCUGGACGGUUACUGACGCUGAGACGCGAAAGCGUGGGGAGCAAACAGG